GUUAGGAAUAUUGGACAAUGGGCGCAAGCCUGAUCCAGCCAUGCCGCGUGAACGAUGAAGGCCUUCGGGUUGUAAAGUUCUUUAGCCGAUGAUUAUAAUGACUGUAGUCGGAAAAUAAGCCCCGGCUAACUUCGUGCCAGCAGCCGCGGUAAUACGAAGGGGGCGAGCGUUAUUCGGAAUCACUGGGCGUAAAGCGUGCGUAGGCGGUCUCGUAAGUUAGGAGUGAAAGCACAGGGCUCAACCUUGGAAUUGCUCUUAAAACUGCAAGGCUAGAAUCUCGGAGAGGAUAGCGGAAUUUCCAGUGUAGCAGUGAAAUGCGUAGAUAUUGGAAGGAACACCAGUGGCGUAAGCGGCUAUCUGGACGAGUAUUGACGCUGAGGCACGAAAGCGUGGGGAUCAAACAGGAUUAGAUACUCCUGUAGUCC
Molecule: ribosomal RNA, 425 nt
Filed under: uncultured bacterium
Lineage: Bacteria
Description: partial 16S ribosomal RNA
Rfam family: Bacterial small subunit ribosomal RNA
Source: RNAcentral